Long non-coding RNA from Piliocolobus tephrosceles (Ugandan red Colobus), 1565 nucleotides. RefSeq lists it as uncharacterized. The transcript is spliced from 3 exons. The record is from RefSeq and is a predicted model, not a curated record. NCBI's taxonomy places the organism in Eukaryota, Metazoa, Chordata, Mammalia, Primates, Cercopithecidae.
GGCAAAGACAUCAGAUGAGCACAGCUCCAGCCUCCGAGACCCAGAACCAGAACGAAAGCAGCUUCUGUCUGUAUCACUCACUGCCAGCCUAACUUCAGCAACUGCUUGUGACUUUCAGUACUGCACAGCUGGUACCUCGUUGGGCACAGCAACAGAGGAUCAAAAGCUGGAUGGCACAGAGAAUGAAAGAGAGGAGAAGGGACUAGAGUUAAGCGUGGUCCUGAGAAGGCAUCUGCUGAAGCUCUGUUGCUCCUGUGUACUAAGAGUCGGCGUCCUGUGCACAGUGAAGGUGGAGCCCGUGGAGAGGAGCAUCUCAGUACACGGAGGGUCCCGGAAUUGAGUGGUCCACCCCGGUCUUCACCCUGGUUAGCCUAUGACUGGGCCUGAUGCCUCUCAUUCCUGAGUAAGCUGACCUUCGAUUCUUCACACAAGGGCCCAGCUGUGACUCAUGAAAAUGAAAAUGAGAGUACGACUUUGGAGCAAAGCCAUUUCUCAAGUCUGAGGGGUAAGUGCAUGCACAGAGCGCUGCACACAGCUCUGCCAACGGCUGUCACCACCUGGUGCCGUCGCGAAGCUGGCCACGGAGCAGCCGCACUCAGCAGCCACGCUCUCCGGAGUCGCUGCUAUGGACACAGUCUCAUGGGGCUCUCUGAAGCCCUCUGCCUUGGUGGGUCUCUGCUGCAGAAAGCGAGGGUUCUGAGCCAACACAGGCCUAGUCUGGAGGCAGAGUCCUGGGGAAAGGAAGCGUCUGUGAGCAGGGGCACAGCUGGUUCCUCAAACACAGGAGAACUCAUGUUGGAACCUGUUUAACCCCAGCCAUCACCAAUUGAUGAGUUAACCACCUUUAACCUGAGAUUCAAUAAAACAUGCCAUUUUUAACCUGAAAUGGGUUUUUACAGAGUCACUGUUACGCACCUCAUUAUUAAACCCAUGCUGACCCCUUGAGAGAGCAGCCGUGUUAGCACAUAUUAUAAGCCUAUUGCCCAUAAAAUAUUUAAAAGUAGAGAAAGAGAUGGAAAGAAGUGAAUUCGUGAAAGAGCUAUGUGCCAAGUGAGAAAAUGAAAAUAUUCUGGCCAGUAAAGACCCACUGGUAUUUUUCUUUCAUUCCAUGACAACACAAAAAUCAUCCAUGGAGAAUACUCGUGUCUCGCUUGUAUAUUAGCUAUGAAAUGCCAAAGGCACCUGUACUUCCUGAAUUUCUCUCUAAAAAAAUUUGGGAAUGCUAAAAACAAGUUUCAAAAGAUUUGCCACCAACGGGAGGCCCAUCAUCCCCACAAAUGAAAGAGAGCGUGCCCCGCCACAAGACCUUCUAUUACACAGGAAGGCGCCCCCAAGCCACGCAGGUUUGCCUGUCUCCCUCAUGAGUGACUCUAAUUCCAAUCACUGUUCUAUUAUGCUCCUGAUAGCAGAGAUGGGAAACAAUCAAAAAUAGCUUUAGGGAUGGUGACUUAGUUAACAUUAAUGACCACUAAACAAGAAAUUUCACAUUCAAAAAAGAAAAAAAAAGUAACACUAUGGUAAACUUGCUAAGAUAUCUUUAAUAGAAGGACAUCUCUGAAAGAAUA